RNAcentral lists this ribosomal RNA (464 nucleotides) under Vreelandella stevensii. RNAcentral describes it as "partial 16S ribosomal RNA". It matches the Rfam family "Bacterial small subunit ribosomal RNA", at positions 339 to 795 of the family's 1533-position model. Lineage: Bacteria; Pseudomonadati; Pseudomonadota; Gammaproteobacteria; Oceanospirillales; Halomonadaceae. The record is from RNAcentral.
CCACGGGAGGCUGCAGUGGGGAAUAUUGGACAAUGGGCGAAAGCCUGAUCCAGCCAUGCCGCGUGUGUGAAGAAGGCCUUCGGGUUGUAAAGCACUUUCAGUGGGGAAGAAAGCCUUGGGGCUAAUACCCUCGAGGAAGGACAUCACCCACAGAAGAAGCACCGGCUAACUCCGUGCCAGCAGCCGCGGUAAUACGGAGGGUGCGAGCGUUAAUCGGAAUUACUGGGCGUAAAGCGCGCGUAGGCGGUCUGAUAAGCCGGUUGUGAAAGCCCCGGGCUCAACCUGGGAACGGCAUCCGGAACUGUCAGGCUAGAGUGCAGGAGAGGAAGGUAGAAUUCCCGGUGUAGCGGUGAAAUGCGUAGAGAUCGGGAGGAAUACCAGUGGCGAAGGCGGCCUUCUGGACUGACACUGACGCUGAGGUGCGAAAGCGUGGGUAGCAAACAGGAUUAGAUACCCGAGUCGUC